RNAcentral lists this ribosomal RNA (495 nucleotides) under uncultured bacterium. RNAcentral's name for it is "partial 16S ribosomal RNA". It matches the Rfam family "Bacterial small subunit ribosomal RNA", at positions 28 to 507 of the family's 1533-position model. The record is from RNAcentral.
GACGAACGCUGGCGGCGUGCCUAAUACAUGCAAGUAGAACGCUGAAGGAGGAUAUUGCUUCUCUGGAUGAGUUGCGAACGGGUGAGUAACGCGUAGGUAACCUGCCUGGUAGCGGGGGAUAACUAUUGGAAACGAUAGCUAAUACCGCAUAAGAUUGACUAUUGCAUGAUAGUCAGUUCAAAGGUGCAAUUGCAUCACUACCAGAUGGACCUGCGUUGUAUUAGCUAGUUGGUGGGGUAACGGCCCACCAAGGCGACGAUACAUAGCCGACCUGAGAGGGUGGACGGCCAAACUGGGACUGAGACACGGCCCAAGCUCCUACGGGAGGGAGCAGGAGGGAAACUUCGGAAAAGGACGGAAGGCUGGACGAGCAACGCCGGGGGAGUGAAGAAGGGUUUCGGAUCGGAAAGGUCUGUUGUAAGAGAAGAAAGAGUGUGAGAGUGGAAAGUUCACACUGUGACGGUAUCUUAACAGAAAGGGACGGCUAACUACGUG